GACGAACGCUGGCGGCGUGCUUAACACAUGCAAGUCGAACGGAAAGGCCCUGCUUUUGUGGGGUGCUCGAGUGGCGAACGGGUGAGUAACACGUGAGUAACCUGCCCUUGACUUUGGGAUAACUUCAGGAAACUGGGGCUAAUACCGGAUAGGAGCUCCUGCUGCAUGGUGGGGGUUGGAAAGUUUCGGCGGUUGGGGAUGGACUCGCGGCUUAUCAGCUUGUUGGUGGGGUAGUGGCUUACCAAGGCUUUGACGGGUAGCCGGCCUGAGAGGGUGACCGGCCACAUUGGGACUGAGCUGCGGCCCAGACUCCUACGGGAGGCAGAAGUGGGGAAUAUUGCACAAUGGGCGGAAGCCUGAUGCAGCAACGCCGCGUGCGGGAUGACGGCCUUCGGGUUGUAAACCGCUUUCGCCUGUGACGAAGCGUGAGUGACGGUAAUGGGUAAAGAAGCACCGGCUAACUACGUG
Molecule: ribosomal RNA, 468 nt
Filed under: uncultured bacterium
Lineage: Bacteria
Description: partial 16S ribosomal RNA
Rfam family: Bacterial small subunit ribosomal RNA
Source: RNAcentral